Trichomycterus rosablanca is the source of this 1150-nucleotide long non-coding RNA. RefSeq lists it as uncharacterized. The transcript is spliced from 3 exons. The record is from RefSeq and is a predicted model, not a curated record. NCBI's taxonomy places the organism in Eukaryota, Metazoa, Chordata, Actinopteri, Siluriformes, Trichomycteridae.
CUUCUUGCUAAUCUGUCUGCCUUUUUAUUGCCAGCAAUUCCGCAGUGUCCCGGAAUCCAGCAAAGUCUGAUGUCGUAAUUCAUACUGUUUCCUCCCUAUUUAGCACACUGAAUUUUUGUCUUCCGCUGCUGAGAGAUACCAGAUUGCAUCCGAGGAGAGCACGUCGCUGUACACGCCUCUUCACAGCCCUCCUCUUCUCGCCCCUGCAUUCUGCACAGGCUUCUCUUCCGCCAAUCAGGGUCCUUACACAGCGUAUGGAGACCCACCCACCCACACAUAGUACGGCCCCCACCCUGCAGAUACGGUGGCCAAUUAGUAUCUGCUGCAGGCACUGCCAAUUAUGCCUGCCAGAUGGUGCCCAGCCGAACAGUGGCGACACUGAGUUCAGAAACUCGGUGCUGGUGUGCUAAUGGGAUCUCCCACUGCACCACCUGGGCGACAACAACCUCAUUUUUGACUUCUGAGGUAAAGGUAAGGUCGAGUUUAAGUGUACAAAUCUCUUAGAGAAGGGGGUUGAGUUACAAGGUACCACUAUACUUUAAUCCCAGCAGGCAAAUGUAAGUCCUAUAGAUUUACCGUUCUUCCUUUAAUUGUAAUGUAAUUGCAGCUAGUUACAUUAUGAGUUCAGUUCACUACUAACUAAUAGUAUUUAAAAAAUGUAGGUACCACUGGUCUAAACCAACCCAUAUUUUUUUUUUCACAGGUCGCUACUUAAACGUAACUGAUAAGUGCCUACAUUAUGACUAGCAACCAACUAUCAAGUUCUAUGUAUUUUCUCCAUUUUUGUAUUGUCUCAAUUUCAAUUCACUUAUUUACCCUAUCACACGGCUUCACUGACGUGUGUAAGGCUCCCAGCUGAAUCCUUACACGAGUGGCGGCAGCCAACUAUGUUAAACUUGCUUGUUUAUCUGUACAGCAAUUUUUAAAAUCUUCUCAUAGAUGCUUGACAAGAUUAGGAUCACGCCUCUGACGGGGUGACUCUUGGACAUCACCUCGCCUGGUUGACGGCACUUCACAAAGUUGCCAGAGUUGAAGACAUGUGGCGUGUCUGAACUUGCCUGCGUUGUAGAAAGUAUCCAGCGUGUCUGCAGUAGCGUGUGCAAUCCGCUCAAACGGGACAGUUUGGAGCUCGGCGUGGGAGUCCGCACAG